This 427-nucleotide ribosomal RNA is filed under the name uncultured bacterium. RNAcentral's name for it is "bacterial SSU rRNA". It matches the Rfam family "Bacterial small subunit ribosomal RNA", at positions 355 to 774 of the family's 1533-position model. The record is from RNAcentral.
UGGGGAAUUUUGGACAAUGGGCGAAAGCCUGAUCCAGCCAUGCCGCGUGAGUGAAGAAGGCCUUCGGGUUGUAAAGCUCUUUCAGGUGGAAAGAAAACGCAUAGGUUAAUACCUUGUGCGGAUGACGGUACCAUCAGAAGAAGCACCGGCUAACUACGUGCCAGCAGCCGCGGUAAUACGUAGGGCGCGAGCGUUAAUCGGAAUUACUGGGCGUAAAGCGUGCGCAGGCGGUUUCGUAAGACAGAUGUGAAAUCCCCGGGCUCAACCUGGGAACUGCGUUUGUGACUGCAUAGCUAGAGUACGGUAGAGGGGGGUGGAAUUCCGGGUGUAGCGGUGAAAUGCGUAGAUAUGCGGAGGAACACCGAUGGCGAAGGCGGCCUCCUGGGCAAGGACUGACGCUCAUGCGCGAAAGCGUGGGGAGCAAACA